UGGGGAAUCUUCCGCAAUGGACGAAAGUCUGACGGAGCAACGCCGCGUGAGUGAAGACGGCCUUCGGGUUGUAAAGCUCUGUGAUCCGGGACGAAAGAGCCUGAGGUGAAUAGCCUAAGGAAGUGACGGUACCGGAAAAGCAAGCCACGGCUAACUACGUGCCAGCAGCCGCGGUAAUACGUAGGUGGCAAGCGUUGUCCGGAAUUAUUGGGCGUAAAGCGCGCGCAGGCGGCUUCCUAAGUCCAUCUUAAAAGUGCGGGGCUUAACCCCGUGAUGGGAUGGAAACUGGGAAGCUGGAGUAUCGGAGAGGAAAGUGGAAUUCCUAGUGUAGCGGUGAAAUGCGUAGAGAUUAGGGAGAACACCGGUGGCGAAGGCGACUUUCUGGACGAAAACUGACGCUGAGGCGCGAAAGCGUGGGGAGCAAACAGG
This 429-nucleotide ribosomal RNA is filed under the name Fusobacteriota bacterium. RNAcentral's name for it is "Fusobacteria bacterium partial 16S ribosomal RNA". It matches the Rfam family "Bacterial small subunit ribosomal RNA", at positions 355 to 776 of the family's 1533-position model. The record is from RNAcentral. Lineage: Bacteria; Fusobacteriati; Fusobacteriota.